Molecule: long non-coding RNA, 1057 nt
Organism: Thalassophryne amazonica
Lineage: Eukaryota; Metazoa; Chordata; Actinopteri; Batrachoidiformes; Batrachoididae
Exons: 3
Source: RefSeq, a predicted model, not a curated record
AAAAGACACUUUUUCGGCAUCCUCCCAGUCCACUGAGCUGUAAAUAGGCACUGGUGAUGGCUGGGGUAGUAACCUGCAAUGAACUGGUGUACUGUCCAGGGUCUCCAGUGGAGCAGAGUCAUAGACUCUGCUCCACUUCACACUGAAGUAUCUGGAGAUAAAUGCUGGCAUGGUUGGUCUCAGGUCCCUCGUUUAACUCCAAAUUAGUAAUUCAGAAGCUUUCGCAAGUAAUUCAAUCAAUGUCUGGAAUCUUUUGCGGUGCUAAAAAGGCAUUUAUCGUGGUGGAUGUAUAAUGCUGACCCACUGAAAAUGUGAAAUAACUGAAAUAAUGCCAUCUUGUAAAUUUUUAUAUAACUGUAUAUAUAUAAAUAAAGUAGACACUGUAAUGGAGUAAAGUACAUACAUGUAAUAUUACAUACAUAUGCAGAUAAUAUGUCUUUAGUCAAGGUAUAUAUAAACUUAUGCAUGUUAUCAAGACAUCACAACAACACCUAAUCUGAUUCUGAUCAAACUUGUCAGGUACAAUGCACCUACAGAUGGAAAGAAGUGAUUUGAUUUUGGUUAGGAUCACUCAAUGAUAAAAGGUCAGAGGUCAAGAUCAAACUUCAGGUCCCAUGCAAAACAAAUAAAGAACAUUUUUUUAUUAUUAUUAUAUUAUUAUAAGUCAGAGCGGGUGUGGAGGAAGAGCGGGUGAGCAGGGCAGUAGGACUACGGCAACAGGGAGCAUGGACAAGGUGGGAGAGCGCACUACAGCGCAGGAUCACCUGGACAAACAUCUUGCAGCCAGAUUUUCAGCGGGUCCGCUUCCUGGUGCAAGCUGUCUACGAUGCUCUGCCAAGUCCAGCGAACCUCCAUGUGUGGGGGAAAAGUGAGACACCUUCCUGCCCACUGUGCUCUGGUAGAGGCUCUUUAGAACACCUCCUCAGUGGCUGCCCAAAGGCUCUGGCAGAUGGUCGCUAUCGCUGGCGCCAUGACCAGGUGCUUAAGGCAGUCGCUGAGAGCGUAGCCUCAGCCAUCAGCUCCAGCAAGAACCAUCAUGCUCCAAAGAACGCAAUCU